AGCGAACGUUAGCGGCGGGCCUAACACAUGCAAGUCGCGGGAGAAAAGGGCUUCGGCCCCGAGUAAACCGGCGCACGGGUGAGUAACACGUAGGUAAUCUGCCCUCCGGUGGGGGACGAACCGGCCGAAAGGCUGGCUAAUACCGCAUCCGUCGGCGAGGACUGCGGUCCUUGUCGGGAAAGCGGGCCUCUCCAUGGAAGCUCGCGCCGGAGGAGGAGCCUGCGUCCCAUCAGCUAGUUGGUGAGGUAACGGCUCACCAAGGCAUAGACGGGUAGCUGGUCUGAGAGGAUGAUCAGCCACACUGGGACUGAGACACGGCCCAGACUCCUACGGGAGGCAGCAGUGGGGAAUAUUGGACAAUGGGCGCAAGCCUGAUCCAGCGAUGCCGCGUGUGUGAAGAAGGCCUGCGGGUUGUAAAGCACUUUCAGUAGGAAGAAAGCCGAGUGCUAAUAUCAUUCGGUCUUGACGUUACUUACAGAAGAAGCACCGGCUAACUCCGUGCCA
RNAcentral lists this ribosomal RNA (504 nucleotides) under uncultured bacterium. RNAcentral's name for it is "bacterial SSU rRNA". It matches the Rfam family "Bacterial small subunit ribosomal RNA", at positions 29 to 510 of the family's 1533-position model. The record is from RNAcentral.